This 74-nucleotide transfer RNA is filed under the name Coxiella endosymbiont of Amblyomma sculptum. RNAcentral's name for it is "tRNA-Met". It matches the Rfam family "tRNA". From Rfam's summary of the family: Transfer RNA (tRNA) molecules are approximately 80 nucleotides in length. Their secondary structure includes four short double-helical elements and three loops (D, anti-codon, and T loops). Further hydrogen bonds mediate the characteristic L-shaped molecular structure. tRNAs have two regions of fundamental functional importance: the anti-codon, which is responsible for specific mRNA codon recognition, and the 3' end, to which the tRNAs corresponding amino acid is attached (by aminoacyl-tRNA synthetases). tRNAs cope with the degeneracy of the genetic code in two manners: having more than one tRNA (with a specific anti-codon) for a particular amino acid; and 'wobble' base-pairing, i.e. permitting non-standard base-pairing at the 3rd anti-codon position. Lineage: Bacteria; Pseudomonadati; Pseudomonadota; Gammaproteobacteria; Legionellales; Coxiellaceae. The record is from RNAcentral.
UGCGGGAUGGAGCAGUCUGGUAGCUCGUCGGGCUCAUAACCCGAAGGUCGUAGGUUCAAAUCCUACUCCCGCUU